Molecule: non-coding RNA, 29 nt
Filed under: Homo sapiens (human)
Lineage: Eukaryota; Metazoa; Chordata; Mammalia; Primates; Hominidae
Source: RNAcentral
UCCUAGCUUUGUACCCAGGGAUUGCCUCA